This 76-nucleotide transfer RNA is filed under the name Nilaparvata lugens yeast-like symbiont. RNAcentral's name for it is "tRNA-Arg (ACG) (tRNA-Arg-ACG-2-1)". It matches the Rfam family "tRNA". Rfam says of the family: Transfer RNA (tRNA) molecules are approximately 80 nucleotides in length. Their secondary structure includes four short double-helical elements and three loops (D, anti-codon, and T loops). Lineage: Eukaryota; Fungi; Ascomycota. The record is from RNAcentral.
GGCCAUGUGGCUCAAUGGCAGAGAGCAUCUGACUACGAAUCAGAAGGUUGCAGGUUCUCGACCCCUGUCUCGGUUA